GAUCGAUUAAAAAUCUAUUAUGACGGUAAUAAUAGUUGUAAUGAUAUGAUGACAGAAACAGAAAAAAACAGGAAAAAAGAAGAAAGAAGCAUUACAAAACUACUAUAAGAAACAUUAAAAAUACGACGAUACCAGAAAAAAAAAAAAAAAAAAAAGAAAAAGAAAGAAAGGAAGAAAGAAACAGUGAUUACAAUAUCCAUUCUAUUCUACGUUAAAAGUACUCUCGAAAGAUCGCGCGUGCGUUUAUAUGCUUCUACAUAUAUGCAUAUACGUAUCUACAUAUGUAUGUAUAUGUAUAUAGUGUCGAAUGUGAGCGCGAAGGUUGACACCUACGCUCUUUCGUGUGUGCGCGAGCGCGUUCAAAUGAGCUCUCUAUGCGUGUACAACAGACGGCGCGGCCGAGACGUCGUCGAGUCCGCGUUUCUCAGCCGCGGAGUAGUCGUACAAUACACACACACACACACACAUACACACACACACACGAACAGAAUUUAACCAUCGAAGAAAACCGGGAAUAGAGAUCAGGCCACAUCCGGAACCCUUCGCCGAUGUUUUUCAACCUAGGAUACGAGGAAAAUCCUCGUAAAAAGGGUUCCAUGGUUAAAUUUGUCUUUCGAAAACUUCGUUCUCGUUGAUCCUAUAUAAGAUAGAAUAAAUCUGAACGAUGGUAAAGAUCAGUAUGCCAUAGACACUAUAACUUUCUCGCUCGCACGGAUUUGUUAUUUUGUGUAACGAGACUGAGAGUAUAUUACACAUAUAUGUAUCUACAUACAUACAUGCAUACAAAUAUAUAAUACAUAUUACGUAAGUAUACAUUAUAAACAUAGAAAAAAUAUAUGAUACAUACCCUUGAAUCUCGGCUUGUAAUAUUAAAGAAUCGAAUUCC
This is a long non-coding RNA of Vespula vulgaris, 886 nucleotides long. RefSeq lists it as uncharacterized. The transcript is spliced from 3 exons. The record is from RefSeq and is a predicted model, not a curated record. Lineage: Eukaryota; Metazoa; Arthropoda; Insecta; Hymenoptera; Vespidae.